UUUUGUAAAAAUUGUAUAGGGUCGCAAACGACCCGAGGUGUGUAUGAGUGUACGUAUAUUUUUUCUGCACAACAAUAAUUGAAUCUUAGAUGAUGGAAUAAGUGCAAUUCACCUUUAUUCCACAAGGCGGCAAUGUCUGAAACACAAUGCUAAAGUGACAACUCAUUCAGACAGAAAACUAAAUAAUAAGAAAAACAUGAAAUGGCUCAGCGAUUUACUACAGAGCAAGUACUGAACGCAAUCAAAUAUGACAGUAACUGUCACUGGAUGGAUCUCAUGAGGUUGUUACCCAGCAAACAUAGUAUGUUGUGACGACGUCGUCAGUUAGUCGUCAUUUGGUCAGCGUGACAUUACUUUAUGACAACGUUGUGAGGACGUUGUGGUAAUGUUCAAUUCUUGGCUAACGUUCCAGAAACAUCGCGGGCACAUCCUCAAAAGACGUCGCUGGUUAAUACCACGGAGAAUGUUGUAGCGACGUGGUCCAUAGGUCUCCUGAUAACUUUCCAGAUAUGUAACUUUUUUGUGUUCAAAAUUUACAAAUAUUAUACAAUGGGAAUGUACAACAUGAAUACAUUUUCCAAACCGUGUUUUUGUUGUACCCUGAAUCAUUAUGGUACACCUAGAAUAAGUGUUUAUAUUCAGACUAUUUUAGACCAGUCUGGUAGGAACCGCUGCGGAGUAGCACAAAUACCUGCGUGACUCGUCAUAGACAUAAACAGAGAAGUAGCUCCGGCUACAAUGGUCUUAGGCAAGAUGCAUGCAGUUCUGUUUAACCGGUAGAGCGCCAAAAGUUACGGACUUGUUUAUAUAUUAUAUGUUGUGUUUGUGAAUGAAGGAGAUUUAUUGGAUGGGGCACGUGCGAGACAAAUUCGAAAUUUUAAACAAGCAAGUCAAACGGACUUUCGGAGAAUCUGAGUACUGCGCAUGCGCAUCAUUUUGUUCUGUAACGGUCGACUUCCAGCAGACGGACACGGAGUAAAAGCAGCUGGAGGAGAGACAGCCUGUGCAGCAACAACAAGACAACAAUGAUUAUAAGCAGGGGUGGACUGCACGGGUCCAGGAUCAAGAGAUCAUUCAUCAUUCAUCAUGCAGACCAUGUUCCAGGAGAAGCAGCGUAUCCUGGGUCUGCUUGAUCAUUUUGUUGUCCUGGAUGUGAGAACAUGGUCAAAAGGUGUGUCAAUCAAGCAGCCUUCUCGUUAAAAGGCUCAGGAGGACAAACAGGUAAUUCACAGGGUUGAAUUUCACAAUUCAGUUACUCACAGAGACAAGGAGAUGUUAAUAAUUCUGAAUUUGAGGGGUCAGCAAUUUUACUAUUUGAUACAUUUACACUUUUUAUUUAAUUCAGAAUGAAAUCAUUGUGAUUGAUGAAUCUGAAUAUAGGUGAUGUGUACAUUUAUUUAGAAAUCGGAUUUGAUAUUUUAAAAUGCACUGUCUGUCCAAAAUUACAGACUUUCCCGCUGUUGGUGCGUAUUAACCAUCAUCCUGU
Long non-coding RNA from Megalobrama amblycephala (Wuchang bream), 1486 nucleotides. RefSeq lists it as uncharacterized. The record is from RefSeq and is a predicted model, not a curated record. The transcript has 4 exons. NCBI's taxonomy places the organism in Eukaryota, Metazoa, Chordata, Actinopteri, Cypriniformes, Xenocyprididae.